Molecule: long non-coding RNA, 332 nt
Filed under: Manihot esculenta (cassava)
Lineage: Eukaryota; Viridiplantae; Streptophyta; Magnoliopsida; Malpighiales; Euphorbiaceae
Description: long non-coding RNA (MESC_LNC004839)
Source: RNAcentral
UCUCAGUAAAACAUGAUCUCAUGGAAUGCGUCAUAACACAAAUAAACCACAUCAAGAGUAAACCUGUCACCACAUAGUCCCAGUAGCUCUUUGCCAGGGCGUAGAAUCGAGCACCUGGUCUUCCUGUCAUAUAUGUAUAUGUGUAUAUAACACCUCUGUACUUACCAUUGCCAGGGCGUAGUCAAAGGCUCCUGGUCUUUACUAUAAACCUGCCAGGGCGUAGUCAAAGGCUCCUGGACUUCGCUAUACCUGCCAGGGCGUAGUCAAAGGCUCCUGGACUUCCUGUCUGUGACUAUUGGAUCAUUCAGCAUUUACUCACAUCAACAGAUAAC